This 228-nucleotide ribosomal RNA is filed under the name uncultured bacterium. Its description in RNAcentral is "partial 16S ribosomal RNA". It matches the Rfam family "Bacterial small subunit ribosomal RNA", at positions 118 to 347 of the family's 1533-position model. The record is from RNAcentral.
UGAGCAACCUGCCCUUGACUCCGGAAUAACAGCUGGAAACAGCUGCUAAUACCGGAUACGACCUCCGAUGGCAUCAUCUGGAGGUGGAAAGCUCCGACGGUCAAGGAUGGGCUCGCGGCCUAUCAGCUUGUUGGUGAGGUAACGGCUCACCAAGGCUUCGACGGGUAGCCGGCCUGAGAGGGCGACCGGCCACACUGGGACUGAGAUACGGCCCAGACUCCGUAGGAG